RNAcentral lists this ribosomal RNA (434 nucleotides) under uncultured bacterium. RNAcentral describes it as "partial 16S ribosomal RNA". It matches the Rfam family "Bacterial small subunit ribosomal RNA", at positions 29 to 507 of the family's 1533-position model. The record is from RNAcentral.
AGCGAACGCUGGCGGCAGGCCUAACACAUGCAAGUCGAACGAACCUUUCGGGGUUAGUGGCGGACGGGUGAGUAACACGUGGGAACGUGCCUUUAGGUUCGGAAUACCUCAUGGAAACUUGUGCUAAUACCGAAUGUGCCCUUCGGGGGCAAGAUUUAUCGCCUUUAGAGCGGCCCGCGUCUGAUUAGCUAGUUGGUUGAGGUAAUGGCUCACUAAGGCGACGAUCAGUAGCUGGUCUGAGAGGAUGAUCAGCCACAUUGGGACUGAGACACGGCCCAAACUCCUACGGGAGACAGCAGUGGGGAAUCUUGCGCAAUGGGCGAAAGCCUGACGCAGCCAUGCCGCGUGAAUGAUGAAGGUCUUAGGAUUGUAAAAUUCUUUCACCGGGGACGAUAAUGACGGUACCCGGAGAAGAAGCCCCGGCUAACUUCGUG